RNAcentral lists this ribosomal RNA (2932 nucleotides) under Enterobacter cloacae. Its description in RNAcentral is "23S ribosomal RNA". It matches the Rfam family "Bacterial large subunit ribosomal RNA". The record is from RNAcentral. Lineage: Bacteria; Pseudomonadati; Pseudomonadota; Gammaproteobacteria; Enterobacterales; Enterobacteriaceae.
GGGUUGUGAGGUUAAGCGACUAAGCGUACACGGUGGAUGCCCUGGCAGUCAGAGGCGAUGAAGGACGUGCUAAUCUGCGAAAAGCGCCGGCGAGGUGAUAUGAACCCUUGACCCGGCGAUGUCCGAAUGGGGAAACCCAGUGCAAUCCGUUGCACUAUCGUUAACUGAAUACAUAGGUUAACGAGGCGAACCGGGGGAACUGAAACAUCUAAGUACCCCGAGGAAAAGAAAUCAACCGAGAUUCCCCCAGUAGCGGCGAGCGAACGGGGAGCAGCCCAGAGUCUGAAUCAGCUUGUGUGUUAGUGGAAGCGUCUGGAAAGUCGCACGGUACAGGGUGAUAGUCCCGUACACGAAAAUGCACAGGCUGUGAACUCGAAGAGUAGGGCGGGACACGUGGUAUCCUGUCUGAAUAUGGGGGGACCAUCCUCCAAGGCUAAAUACUCCUGACUGACCGAUAGUGAACCAGUACCGUGAGGGAAAGGCGAAAAGAACCCCGGCGAGGGGAGUGAAAAAGAACCUGAAACCGUGUACGUACAAGCAGUGGGAGCACCUUCGUGGUGUGACUGCGUACCUUUUGUAUAAUGGGUCAGCGACUUAUAUUCUGUAGCAAGGUUAACCGUAUAGGGGAGCCGAAGGGAAACCGAGUCUUAACUGGGCGUUAAGUUGCAGGGUAUAGACCCGAAACCCGGUGAUCUAGCCAUGGGCAGGUUGAAGGUUGGGUAACACUAACUGGAGGACCGAACCGACUAAUGUUGAAAAAUUAGCGGAUGACCUGUGGCUGGGGGUGAAAGGCCAAUCAAACCGGGAGAUAGCUGGUUCUCCCCGAAAGCUAUUUAGGUAGCGCCUCGUGAACUCAUCUUCGGGGGUAGAGCACUGUUUCGGCUAGGGGGCCAUCCCGGCUUACCAACCCGAUGCAAACUACGAAUACCGAAGAAUGUUAUCACGGGAGACACACGGCGGGUGCUAACGUCCGUCGUGAAGAGGGAAACAACCCAGACCGCCAGCUAAGGUCCCAAAGUCAUGGUUAAGUGGGAAACGAUGUGGGAAGGCCCAGACAGCCAGGAUGUUGGCUUAGAAGCAGCCAUCAUUUAAAGAAAGCGUAAUAGCUCACUGGUCGAGUCGGCCUGCGCGGAAGAUGUAACGGGGCUAAACCAUGCACCGAAGCUGCGGCAGCGACGCUUAUGCGUUGUUGGGUAGGGGAGCGUUCUGUAAGCCGUUGAAGGUGGCCUGUGAGGGUUGCUGGAGGUAUCAGAAGUGCGAAUGCUGACAUAAGUAACGAUAAAGCGGGUGAAAAGCCCGCUCGCCGGAAGACCAAGGGUUCCUGUCCAACGUUAAUCGGGGCAGGGUGAGUCGACCCCUAAGGCGAGGCCGAAAGGCGUAGUCGAUGGGAAACAGGUUAAUAUUCCUGUACUUGGUGUUACUGCGAAGGGGGGACGGAGAAGGCUAUGUUAGCCGGGCGACGGUUGUCCCGGUUUAAGCAUGUAGGCGGAGGUUCCAGGUAAAUCCGGUACCUUUUAACGCUGAGGUGUGAUGACGAGGCACUACGGUGCUGAAGUAACAAAUGCCCUGCUUCCAGGAAAAGCCUCUAAGCAUCAGGUAACACGAAAUCGUACCCCAAACCGACACAGGUGGUCAGGUAGAGAAUACCAAGGCGCUUGAGAGAACUCGGGUGAAGGAACUAGGCAAAAUGGUGCCGUAACUUCGGGAGAAGGCACGCUGAUAUGUAGGUGAAGCCCCUGCGGGUGGAGCUGAAAUCAGUCGAAGAUACCAGCUGGCUGCAACUGUUUAUUAAAAACACAGCACUGUGCAAACACGAAAGUGGACGUAUACGGUGUGACGCCUGCCCGGUGCCGGAAGGUUAAUUGAUGGGGUUAGCGGCAACGCGAAGCUCUUGAUCGAAGCCCCGGUAAACGGCGGCCGUAACUAUAACGGUCCUAAGGUAGCGAAAUUCCUUGUCGGGUAAGUUCCGACCUGCACGAAUGGCGUAAUGAUGGCCAGGCUGUCUCCACCCGAGACUCAGUGAAAUUGAACUCGCUGUGAAGAUGCAGUGUACCCGCGGCAAGACGGAAAGACCCCGUGAACCUUUACUAUAGCUUGACACUGAACACUGGUCCUUGAUGUGUAGGAUAGGUGGGAGGCUUUGAAGCGUGGACGCCAGUCUGCGUGGAGCCGUCCUUGAAAUACCACCCUUUAAUGGCUGGUGUUCUAACGUAGACCCGUAAUCCGGGUUGCGGACAGUGUCUGGUGGGUAGUUUGACUGGGGCGGUCUCCUCCCAAAGAGUAACGGAGGAGCACGAAGGUUAGCUAAUCCUGGUCGGACAUCAGGAGGUUAGUGCAAUGGCAUAAGCUAGCUUGACUGCGAGAGUGACGGCUCGAGCAGGUGCGAAAGCAGGUCAUAGUGAUCCGGUGGUUCUGAAUGGAAGGGCCAUCGCUCAACGGAUAAAAGGUACUCCGGGGAUAACAGGCUGAUACCGCCCAAGAGUUCAUAUCGACGGCGGUGUUUGGCACCUCGAUGUCGGCUCAUCACAUCCUGGGGCUGAAGUAGGUCCCAAGGGUAUGGCUGUUCGCCAUUUAAAGUGGUACGCGAGCUGGGUUUAGAACGUCGUGAGACAGUUCGGUCCCUAUCUGCCGUGGGCGCUGGAGAAUUGAGGGGGGCUGCUCCUAGUACGAGAGGACCGGAGUGGACGCAUCACUGGUGUUCGGGUUGUCAUGCCAAUGGCACUGCCCGGUAGCUAAAUGCGGAAGAGAUAAGUGCUGAAAGCAUCUAAGCACGAAACUUGCCCCGAGAUGAGUUCUCCCUGAGACUUAAAGUCUCCUGAAGGAACGUUGAAGACGACGACGUUGAUAGGUCGGGUGUGUAAGCGCAGCGAUGCGUUGAGCUAACCGAUACUAAUGAACCGUGAGGCUUAACCUUACAACGCCGAAGGUGUUU